CAGCAGCCGCGGGAAUACGUAGGGUGCGAGCGUUAAUCGGAAUUACUGGGCGUAAAGCGUGCGCAGGCGGCUUUGCAAGACAGAUGUGAAAUCCCCGGGCUCAACCUGGGAACUGCAUUUGUGACUGCAAGGCUUGAGUACGGUAGAGGGGGAUGGAAUUCCGCGUGUAGCAGUGAAAUGCGUAGAUAUGCGGAGGAACACCAAUGGCGAAGGCAAUCCCCUGGACCUGUACUGACGCUCGUGCACGAAAGCGUGGGGAGCAAACAGGAUUAGAUACCCCGGUAGUCCCUGUCUCUUAUAC
Molecule: ribosomal RNA, 301 nt
Filed under: uncultured bacterium
Lineage: Bacteria
Description: partial 16S ribosomal RNA
Rfam family: Bacterial small subunit ribosomal RNA
Source: RNAcentral